This is a long non-coding RNA of Corvus hawaiiensis (hawaiian crow), 829 nucleotides long. RefSeq lists it as uncharacterized. The transcript has 3 exons. Lineage: Eukaryota; Metazoa; Chordata; Aves; Passeriformes; Corvidae. The record is from RefSeq and is a predicted model, not a curated record.
UAAAUGCCAUGAUCACAAAUCUAGCAUCUAGCUGGCACCAGGGACAGAAAAAGGUUCUAUUUACAGCUCCUCUGGGCAGUGUUAGCCAGUGGACACGCUGCUGCUCUGCCCAUCCUUGGGACAACCUUCACAGGAAUACAGCUUUUGCUUUGUGAUAAGAUAUGACAAGGCCUUCAAGUUUGUCAGAAUGUUCCUCUUGUCCCCUCCCUUCUCCUCUACAAUAUUCUGGAGUUGCUCAAACCUGUGUCUGAACAAAGGCAUUUGAAGCAGCUGUAUCUGAAUGGAAAUUGGACAGGUUUCAAAGGGGAAGACGCAUGCUGACCUUCAUGAAUAAUGAUGAUGCAGUGACUACAGCAAGAGAUAACUUACGUCCUCAUUGGAAUCAGCGAAGAAAUGCCUCAAGGGCAAAUUGCAGAUACCAAGGACCAGAGGAGGAUCAGGGGAGUGAAUUUAAGUUCCUUCUGGAUCCCUGAUGUCAAGAUCUCUUUAUGCCGGUCUCGUCCCUCACAUUUAAUAGAAAACCCCACAGUCAUCUGGAGACUGACCAGUACAAUACCUACUGGUAAUAUCAUGUGUUAUGAUGUCUUCACGAAUUUUACUACAGUUUUCAAUCCAUAUAUUUCCUCCUAACUUUCUCUUCGACACUUCACUUUAGCCCUUAGCCCUUCUUGCCUUAUUUCCCUUUCUUGUAUCCCUGCUGAAUUCACUUCUCAUCUCUCCUGUUGUUUGUUUUCCUAAUCAAAUAAUCUCCUUCCAUUUUUUACUGAGCACCACUUACUUAAUAUUUAAAUAAAUUAAAUAAACCAAAUCAAAUUAAAUGAACCAAAUC